RNAcentral lists this long non-coding RNA (1356 nucleotides) under Homo sapiens (human). Its description in RNAcentral is "HSALNT0318734". The record is from RNAcentral. Lineage: Eukaryota; Metazoa; Chordata; Mammalia; Primates; Hominidae.
CCCACCAAUCAGCCAUCUGUGGUUUGAGACUCACAAGCUUAGGAGAGACUCGGGAGGCAUCAGUUCCGCAUCCCGCACUCCCACGUGAAUUUGCCCCCGCCCUGAGUCAGAACCCUAGAGGGGUGAAAUCCCUGAAUUCUGCAGAGGAAACCCAUACUUCUUUGCUUUUUCAGCAAUUCCAGGAGAUGUCGUUUUUCAAGUGGCAAAUGUGUGGCUCUAGAGGACAGAGUAACCACCUUGCAGCCAAGAAGCCCUGAUGUCAACUCCCAGCUCUGCUGCAGCACCCAGAAAUCACCGGACCUUUCUGCAUCUUUCUGGGUGACUCUGUCAUGAGGAUUUCAUAAUGUAAUUCCCUAGCACAUAAGAAUUUCUCAACCAAUAUGGCUUUCUUUUUUCCUUCUCACUAGUCUUUGAGCUUCUUAAAGGGAAGACAUGUCCUAUUCAUCUCUACACCCCCCACACCAGUCUGCAUUCAGUAAGUGCUCAAUCAAUGUCUGCUGAAUCACAUCUUCCCACUCAACUGCAUGGCCUCGGAUGAUCCAAUUCUGUGGGACUCAGGGUCUCCCUGAUUCUGAAGAUCUCCAUUUCAGCCACCCCAUCCUGGUGCUUUUUCUGGAGAGACUGGGAAAAAGGAGACAGAAGAAUCCACUCUAGCUGAGACUCCAGAUUGCCUGGGCUGUAAUUUACGGUGCUAUCACAAAGGGGUCCUUUUUCCGCAUGGUGCUCUGCGGUGAUGAGCCAGAAGCUGAAGCUGAGGGGUGUGUGACUCUCCCGCACACUCUCUGGAGUCUUAUUGGCUGUGCAAACUUGAGGGAGUUGCCUAACCACUCUGGGCCCUGUUUUCCUGGCUUUGCCACUCUUCAGCUGUGUGACCCGGGGAAGCUCUCAACCUCUUUGUGCCUCCAUUUCCACAUCUGUAAAAUGGGGAUAUGAAAGUGGCUGCUUUGUGAAGAGUCCUGAGAAUAAAUGAGUUAAGGAAAACUGAUAUGGAUAAAUAUGGAAGAGAGCUGGCCAGUGGAUGAAAUGGUGAUGUAAAGGUUAAGAGAAAUAAAAGCAGGAGACGAGGAGAGAGUCACACCACGGGACAGUUACAGCCAAGAAACAGAGAGGCUCCAGGAAACCAAUCUUACUCCACAUAUUAGAGGACUUACAAUACUUUUCAUAGGACUUACAGCCUCCUCCUUCCCCAGCAUGUUUGUAAGCAAGUAAACUAUAAAAGGUCAGUGCUGAAAAGAGAAUGGGGUGUUCUCCAGUUUCUCCACCCCUAAACCCUUGCAGAGAUGCUGUUCCAGCACAGAAACCAAUCCAGAAAUUCUACCAAGAUACCGAAUGUUCAGCAAAUAGACAAAGCACAAA